Molecule: ribosomal RNA, 384 nt
Filed under: uncultured Chrysophyceae
Lineage: Eukaryota; Chrysophyceae
Description: partial small subunit ribosomal RNA
Rfam family: Eukaryotic small subunit ribosomal RNA
Source: RNAcentral
GCUUGUCUCAAAGAUUAAGCCAUGCACGUCUGAGAAUAAAGAGUUUUCUCUGAAUCUGCGAAUGGCUCAUUAUAUCAGUUAUAGUUUAUUUGAUAGUCCUUUACUACUUGGAUAACCGUAGUAAUUCUAGAGCUAAUACAUGCAUCAAUCCUCUAUUUGAGGUGUAUUUAUUAGAUUGUAACCAAAGCGGGGUAACCCGGUAUAUGGUGAUUCAUAAUAACUUUCGGAUCGAUUUUAAUCGAUGCAUCAUUCAAGUUUCUGCCCUAUCAGCUUUGGAUGGUAGGGUAUUGGCCUACCAUGGCUUUAACGGGUAACGGAGAAUUAGGGUUCGAUUCCGGAGAGGGAGCCUGAGAAAUGGCUACCACAUCCAAGGAAGGCAGCAGG